RNAcentral lists this small RNA (46 nucleotides) under Arabidopsis thaliana (thale cress). RNAcentral describes it as "ATSL128460". The record is from RNAcentral. Lineage: Eukaryota; Viridiplantae; Streptophyta; Magnoliopsida; Brassicales; Brassicaceae.
ACAUAUCGAGAAGAACACAGAGAGGAAGAACAACAACAACAAGAAC